This 253-nucleotide ribosomal RNA is filed under the name uncultured bacterium. RNAcentral describes it as "partial 16S ribosomal RNA". It matches the Rfam family "Bacterial small subunit ribosomal RNA", at positions 524 to 776 of the family's 1533-position model. The record is from RNAcentral.
UACAGAGGUCUCGAGCGUUAGGCGGAAUCACUGGGCUUAAAGCGUGUGUAGGCGGAUCGUUAAGUGCCUUGUGAAAUCCCACGGCUCAACCGUGGAACUGCUUGGCAUACUGGCGGUCUUGAGCAACCUAGGGGCGAGCGGAACAAACGGUGGAGCGGUGAAAUGCGUAGAUAUCGUUUGGAACGCCAAUGGUGAAAACAGCUCGCUGGGGAUGUGCCGACGCUGAGAUACGAAAGCCAGGGGAGCGAACGGG